RNAcentral lists this small RNA (28 nucleotides) under Arabidopsis thaliana (thale cress). RNAcentral's name for it is "ATSL105440". The record is from RNAcentral. Lineage: Eukaryota; Viridiplantae; Streptophyta; Magnoliopsida; Brassicales; Brassicaceae.
AAAAUACAUAAAAAAAAGCAAAAAAAAA